AGGUCCCAAGGGUUGGGCUGUUCGCCCAUUAAAGUGGUACGCGAGCUGGGUUCAGAACGUCGUGAGACAGUUCGGUCCCUAUCCGUCGCAGGCGUAGGAAAUUUGAGAAGACCUGUCCUUAGUACGAGAGGACCGGGAUGGACGUACCUCUGGUGUACCAGUUGUCCUGCCAAGGGCAUGGCUGGGUAGCUAUGUACGGAAUGGAUAAGCGCUGAAAGCAUCUAAGCGCGAAGCCAACUUCAAGAUAAGAUUUCCCACCGCAAGGGUAAGACCCCAGAAAGACUAUCUGGUUGAUAGGUCGAAGGUGUAAGUGCAGCAAUGUAUUUAGCUUAUCGAUACUAAUAGGUCGAGGACUUGACCAAU
RNAcentral lists this ribosomal RNA (363 nucleotides) under Clostridioides difficile. RNAcentral describes it as "partial 23S ribosomal RNA". It matches the Rfam family "Bacterial large subunit ribosomal RNA", at positions 2560 to 2925 of the family's 2925-position model. The record is from RNAcentral. Lineage: Bacteria; Bacillati; Bacillota; Clostridia; Peptostreptococcales; Peptostreptococcaceae.